AACCUGGAGAUACAGACAUAUGGUACAUUCAUUACCCCAGAAAGCUACAGCUGAAAGAAAAAUAGUUGAAGCCAGUCUUAACGCUGGAAAGCUUCAGCAUAUACCUUCCCAUUACUUUCCUUAAUCUCACAGAUUGUCAAAAAUGCUGCCAAAAUAGUUGUUUCUGUUUCAGCUCAGCGCUUCCCGCAAAAUCCACAUUGGAACCUCAGUGUGUGCUUCUUCCAAGGCACGGCUGCCCCUCUUACCUCCUGACCCAGACGGAGAGAGUAGACUGAGCGAGGGCGGAAAAUCCCAGGCCUGACCUUGCCCUCACUAAUCCUGUGACCUUGGGCUACAACUGAGCUUCUCUGGGCCUCAUUUUCCUCAUCUGAAAAUGUCAUUCAGUCACCUGACAAGUACUUAUUGAGCAUCUAUUUUGUGGCAGGCACUGUUCAAAGAACUGGGAAGAUAGUGAUAAAUAAAAUAGGAUCCCCACUUUUGUGGAGUUUAAAUUCUUUGUGGGGGGAGAUAAAUGAGUAGAGGACACAGUAUGGUAGUCGGCAAUUGGGUCAUGGAAAAAACAGAACAGGGAAGGGAGUGUUUGUGCAGAACAAUUGCAGGUGUGAAACACGCUGGUCAAGGAAGUCCUCAGUAGAGAGGAGGCAGUGGAGGAGAGGUCUGAAGGACGUAUGAAGGUGUUCUGGGUGGAUGGCGGAGGAAGAGUAUUUUGUGGGGAGGCCCUGAAGCUGGAGACUGCCUCUGUUUUUGAGAAACAGCAAGAAGUCCAAAAUGGCUCAAAUCUGUGUGUGGGGGCUUUGAAAGCCACCAAAGAGGAUUUGCCAGCGGAUGCUCUCAGAGGGUUUUGAGCAGAGGAGAAACGAUCUAAGAUGUGUUACGGUAACUCUGGCUGCUAUGUGGAGAGCACACUGAAAGGGGACAAAGUCUGGCCACCAUUGCCGUAACUGAAGGAAGGGCCCAUGGUGGGUUGGACCAGGGCAAUUGGCAUUUGGUGGUGAGAAGUGCUUGAAGCGUAGCUAUACGUUACUUUGAAGGGAGAGCUGUCAAGGCUGGCAGAUUACAUGUGGGUGUGAAAUAAGAGAGCGAAGGCGAACUCCCCAGUUUUUUAGCCUGGUUGCUGGGAAGAGUGGAGUGUCGAUCUUCUGAGACUGAGAAUAGCGUAAGGGGAAACAGGUGGGGAGGGAUGGCACCUCGGGAACUCAGUUUGGGGCACGUGAAGUUUGAGACGCCAGUUGGAAAUCCAAACAGACACAACGAAAACAUGUGACUCUGCAAACAGUAGAACUUAUUAGAUGAACUCGAUCUAAAAGAAUGAUAGCUUUUGUCUUCAAGAAAAAUCAGAGUAACCUCUGGUGAUGCCAUGUGGUGAGAAACCAAGAUGACUGAGAAGUAAAUCAUUUUGAGAAGUAAAGUUUCUGUGCUUUCCUAGCCUGGACACUAUUAUCAUUAUUAUCUCCUUGCAGUUAAUUACCUAAUGCGGGAUUGCAAAGUUCACAAAUUUAAAGGUAAAGAAAGGUCUGGUCACUGGAACAUACAAUACAGAAAGCACACAUCCACCCACCCAUUUUGGGGAAAGUUACACAGCUAUAGUCUGAAUGUUUGUAUCCACACCCCUCCCCAAAUUGAUAGGUUGAAAUCUUAAUCAUCAAUGUGAUGGUAUUAGGAGGUGGGGCCUUUGGAAGGUGAUUAGGUCAUGAGGGUGGAGCCCUCUCACAUGGGAUUAAUGCCCUUGUAAAAGAGACCCCAAGAGCUUCCUGCUCCUUCCACCAGGUGGGAACGCAGCAAGAAGUCCGCAGUCUGCAACCCAGAAGAGGGCCCUCACUAGAACCUAAUCACGCUGGCACCAGAUCUUGGGUUUUCCAGUCCCCACAACUGUAAGAAAAAAUUGGUGCAUAGAACCACCCCGUCUAUGGUAUUUGGUUACAGUAGCCCCAAAAGACUGAGACAGGCCAGAGUUAGAAGAAGAGUAUUUAUGAUUAAGGCUGCAGAGAAGAACUCAGUGCCUAUGCUCACUUUGGUUGCAAGAAGCUUUCUGGCUCCCAGAUAGAGAAGGCUGUGAAGCUGGAGUUGAGCUGUAUAGUGGAAAUGAUAAUAUCUAGCUUGCAAGGUUGCCCAGGGCCUGGCUCAUGGUAGGACUCAAUGAAUCUUAGUUCACUUGCUUUUAAGGACAAGAAUUCUGUACUAUGAAUCUUUGUACUCUUAGUAGGUACAUAAUAAAGGUACUUAUUUCUAGAUUCGAAUGUAGCCACCUUCGAUAUUAAUAUGUUUGUUAUAUAUUACUAAUAAUGUAUAUUAAUAUUUCUAAGGUACUAGAGACUUAAGGCAGAGUUAAGACUUCAAUCGAGAGCAGUGCUCCCAAGUACAAAUAUAAUGCAAGCUACAUAGUUAAUUUUAUGUUUUCUAGUAUACACAUUUUAAAAAAUGAAAAGCAAUAAAAUUGAUUUUAAUGGUAUUAUUUAACCCAAAGUAUUAUCCUUUCCACAAGUAAUCCACAUAAAAAUUUUGACAUUUUAUUCUGUUUUUAACUAAUUCUUAGAAAUCCAGUGUGCAUCUUAUACCUCAACUAAAUAACUCAAUUAACAUCUCAAUUAAAACUAGCUGCAAUCCAAGAGUUUAAUAGCCACACAUGGCUAGUGACUAUCAUACUGGACAGUGUGGUUCUGGCGGCAAAAGGGAGGUACUUUUUUCUCUUGUUUUAUGUUUUUAUGCGCCUGACAUUCAACUACAGAAACAUGGUGUGUUUUCAGUCAGUCAGGCUCAGAUAUUACUUGUUCCUUUGUUUUAUAUAGCAGGCAGUUAUGAGGUCGCUAUUUUUAUACACAAUGGAAACAGAGGAUCUCAGACUGUCUUCAUGCCCUAGGAAUGGAAAAUGGUAUCUCCGCUUCACCUGUUCUUAUCUCCCUUGGGUAGAAACAAAACAGAAGAAAACCCACAAAGGAAAGAUCCAAUAGCAAAACUUGUGCUUGUGUGGGUGGUCAUCCUGAUGGCUGCACUUUAAAAUGUUACCUUCCUCUGAUUUUAUGCUAAGAAUCUUUAUGAUAGAAAAAGCAUAAAAAUGGUGGUGGUAGAGGGGGUCACAAAUCACUUUGAACUGGUGGCAGGAGAUCUUCUGAGAAAUGACACUCAUAGGAAAUAAAAACAAAGGGAAAACUGUCUUGAUAAACGUAGAGCUCUUAGUCACAGAAUAACUGGGACACAUUUCAGUUCAUCAAAAUAACUUCGUGUAGUUUUGCAGACUCAGUCAUAUCUCUAACUUACAAAAUUCCUCCCUGAUGCCAGAAUCUUAGUGUUCGUACUGAGUGGAGAGAGUUACUGCAAGCAAUACUGUUCUAAGCACUUUAAAUGCAUUGAUGUGCUCAAUCCUUCUAAGUCUUAUGCCCCUUAUAAUAAACCUGUAACAGAUAUGAAUCUCAGCUCUGUCACUUGCUAGCUAGGAAACUUUCUGAGAUUUAGUUUUCUAUUAUGUAAUUAGGUUUUCGUGAAAAUUAACUCGAAAUGUGUGAAAUGUACAUUGCACGGUGCUUGACGCUUGGGAAGAUCUCCAUAAACAUUGCUACCGUUAUUGGUGACAAAUGGUUACUUUACAAAUCUUAAGGAAAGUGGUUGCAAAUAUUCUAUGGCAAGGAGUCCACAGGGUUAGAAUCUCUUUGUCUGGCUAUUAAGGCUAUUAACAGUGGCUUUCAGUUUUAAGAGCCACAAUUUCCCUUGUCCAUAUACUAGAAAGUUUUGGAGGGUAUACUCCAAAAUUGUUUGUAGGGUAUAUAAAUCAAGAAUGUAUUCCAACAUCACAAAUAUUUUUUAAAAGGUUUUAUUUCUAAGUCAUUUCUCUAUUACCUCAUGUGGGGUUUAAACUCACAGCCCCUAGAUCAAGAGUUGCAGGUUCCACUGACUGGGCCAGCCAGGUGCUCCCCAACAUCACUAACAAUUUUUAAAGUGAUUUUUGAAUAGCUGACAUAUGGACAUGAUGCAAACUUAAAAGAAAAUGCAAAAAGAUACACAGAGGAAAGGCACUCACAGGAAGUAAAACCAAAGGAAAAACUGUCUUGACAAAUGUGGAGCUCUUAGUCACAGAAUAAAUGGGGCGUUAACUUUUUCAACCAUAGAUAACUUAGUCCCUCAUUGCUGGGAUGGACCCGUCCCAGGAAGUCAUGUCUGAUGUUGGGGAGAAUUUUUAAUCAUUGAUGGUUGUUUUAAGGUGUCACUGUCAUUAGGAUCCGGCCACAUUUGAGCAACAAGGGGGCAGUCAGGAAAUGGUUCUCAGGCAGUUUAUUCAUCUGGGGCUUUAUGAAGCCACCUGGAGUUUCAGAUGAAUCAAUUUAUGGAGUGCAUAAUUAGAUGCUUGUAGAGGUUUUAGAGUGACCUUAGCAAGACGAUAAGCAUAAAAAGAGCAAUUAGGAAAAGUAAUAUUUUGUAAACAUCAUGGACAUAAGGCAUUAAUCUAAGAAAUUGUGAAGAAUGAUGGAAUAUUCAUUAACUAAAGGUUCAGUAAUUUUCAAAGUGAUAGAGCAGAUCUAAGGAACUAAAACCUUACAUUAAUUUUGGCAAAACAGAAGCGACAGUACAGUUUCAUUUUUUAACGAGAUUGAUUACGAAGUACAAAAAUGGAGUCAUUGUACGCAACUCUUUAUAACGUGUUCAGUUGAGCUAGUACAGAUAUGACUGGGGAAAGGUUGAAGCAGGUAUGGGAACACCUGGUUGUAAUAACCCAAUAGGUAACAUUUAUAGGCUUGUGGGUAUAAUCAAUAGUAGCAUUUGGGAUGAAAGAGAAAUUAGUUAUAGGCAAGACCCAGGGGUCUCUGACACGGUGAACAUACCAGAAUUUUUUGGUGACAGGUCUAACAAUCAGAGAGGUUUCUUCUUUUUAUAGUAGACUAAGAAGUGUGGAUAAGAAUAUCGUUUCUCUAAGAGAAAGAGGAGGGGGGAAACAAACAAAUAAGGUAGAAGCAACAGUGAAGAAACGGUAUACAGGCCUGGUGGGCUCAUCCUGGGAAAGCCGUCUCUUUCGGCUUUCAUCUGCUUCAAUUCCUGGAAUUUUAAUUUUUAGGUCAUCAGCUGGUAUGUAUAGGUCUGUUCAGGAUUUGGUGUUUUGUUUUGUUUUUUAGAUGUGACAUGUGAAUCUAGGAGUCUAUUUCUUGGAAUUUUCUGGCACAAGGAUUGGUUAAAUUGUACUUGUUGGGAGUCUUGCCAAUGAGACCGAAUGGAGUCUUUUUGGAGAUGUCUUUUCUAAUAGACGAAAUCUACAGGUUGUAAGAAGCUUCUGUACAUCAAUCAAGGAGCACAUUCUAUUGUCUCUCGGAAGUUUGGAUUCCUCUCUUCUAAGGGUCCCUUUAAGAUGAGAAAACUGAGAUGUAGAAAGGUCAAGUGACUUGUCCAAAGUAAAACAGCUAGAAAGUUUUGGAGGCAAGAUUCAAACUUAAGUCUGGCUGAUUUCAAAGUCCCAAGCCCAAUGACUUCCACCCUACUGGAAAGACAAAGGCGAGCAGCUGCAGCAGGAACCCGGCCAUUCCGCCCCUGGUGUGAACAACAGUGGUAACAAAGCAGAAACAAGAACUGAUGUUUAUUUCGAGCCAGUCUCUUUGAAAACAUUAUCUCCUAGGACACAAGAGAGCCCGGGUGUAGGGCUGGGCACCAGGACACAGAGGAGGUGCACAGCACACAGCUCCAGGGCAGCUCAUCAUGUGUCAGGUGAGCCUGAAGGGCACACAGUCUGCCAUGGCAGCUGGCACCCAGUUGGAUUUGUACCCUAAGUGCAGGGAGAAGCGGACAUGUCUCAGUCCACCUAAGACUGGGGUGUGUGUCUCUCCCACUGGAAGCCUGUUUGCCACUCAGACACUUAGACCCAGAGCCCCAAGCAACAGAAACCUGAGAACUGAAAACUUGGAGGCAUCCAUCAGCCCCAAGUCAAACUCUGGGCUCAAUGUCAGCGGUGAAGGAUCAGCUUCAGAUUGCAAGCUUUGGUGUUAAAGCCCAAGAGGGUCAAGAACCUCACGGGUCACCUUUUUACCUGCACAACCUCAGGACAUUUCUCAUUAUUGGGAUCUGUAACCUGAGCACGAUGAAGGCCCUCUUGGGAAUGUCCCAUCUGCCCUGACCUAGAUAGUUCCUCUUCAUCAUACACCCAGCUCUCCUGAUGUGGAGGCAUGGCAGAACAGCCCUGGAAAAUAAUCCCAUCCUCCUCCACUUGCUAUUAUGCUUUAGGUUCUUUGGUGAGAAAAAGUCAUAAAACUGAGUCGUUUCAAAAGCUCAAAAAUAAAUGUAUGAUGUGCUCAAACUCUUAAGAAAAUGACUUAACAUCAGCCCACUCACUGAGCAUUUUAUGUAGAUGAGAAUAUUAGAAUUGCAGGCGCCCUAGAGAACACCUCAGUUCACCCUCCCAUUAGGCUCAGUUAGGCCAGGCCCUUGAGCAUGCUGACAUAUGCAGAUCAUGCUGGAAGUGACAUGGCAAGGGUAGAUGCUGAAUUCCAGAAGUCACAAGGACCCCAUACUCUCUCCCCUGAUGAGCUGGCCUCUAGCAUCCUGAGCACCACUAAAUUCCCUGAGUCACGGCUCCCCUGCAAGAGAUGCAUGUUAAUUUCCUGCAGGCCUUCUAGUCACGGGCUUAGCCAGGGCCUUUGCUGCUUAUCCAAGGCAGCACCCAAGCCAUCUGGCUCAUUUCCAGCCUUGCAAAAAAAUUCUCUAUGGGCACUCUUUUCUAAGCUGGAGGAAUUAGACUCACCACCAGAAGAAAAAGGGAAGAGGGCCAAUUUCUUUCAUCUUCUAGAAGAAUAGAAAAACAACGAAUGCGAUUGCACAAAGUUAUUUGGUUCACCAGCCUAAGGGAUGCAAAUUGGUCCUACUGCCAUUCAGUAUAUCGAAGAAGUCUCUUAUUUGGAAUUUGAAAUUGUGACAAGAAACCCCAUCCUAGGAAGGAAGCAUCUUGAUAAGUGAAAGGGAUUUAUUUUGAUCUGUUUUCUUCUGUAAACAUGGGGCUUGAAUUCAAGGUGCAACGCUGUGCCUUUGGAGAAACCGCUUUUCUCUAGACCUCAGAGAGGAGAGGGACUGAGCCUGCAGCUCUCAGGAGAAGGGGAGAGAGCCCACAAAGGCAUGGGUGGGCGCAGCCUCUCCCGUGCCAUUAGGCCUUCACUGCAUUCUGGAAAAACCACUCUGUAGUGUGGAAGGGAAUGCCAGAGAAUGUGAAGCCACACUUAAGCAUGCUUGGGGGGCCUGGUCAGUGCCCAGUAGGCUGUCAGCACAGGACCCCAGCGUCCCAAGGCUCCUAGCAGUCCCUGAAUGCCUGCUGACGCCUUACAUCACACACUGGCUUCCUCUUCUCCGUGUCUCUCCCAUUCCUCAAGCGCUUGAAGGGCUCACCGUUGUUGAGAGAAAACAAGAUGGAGUAAGACUCGAGCAAGCUGGGACAGGAAGUAAAACUCAAGCCAAGAAGGAAUUCUGCCAAGCACAAUGCACACCCUGCCUAAAAAUAUUUAAGAAUAAAUCAUAGAGUGUGGAGUGUA
Felis catus (domestic cat) is the source of this 7490-nucleotide long non-coding RNA. RefSeq lists it as uncharacterized. The transcript has 8 exons. The record is from RefSeq and is a predicted model, not a curated record. NCBI's taxonomy places the organism in Eukaryota, Metazoa, Chordata, Mammalia, Carnivora, Felidae.